GACGAACGCUGGCGGCGUGCCUAAUACAUGCAAGUUGAGCGCUGAAGGUUGGUACUUGUACCAACUGGAUGAGCAGCGAACGGGUGAGUAACGCGUGGGGAAUCUGCCUUUGAGCGGGGGACAACAUGUGGAAACGAAUGCUAAUACCGCAUAAAAACUUUAAACACAAGUUUUAAGUUUGAAAGAUGCAAUUGCAUCACUCAAAGAUGAUCCCGCGUUGUAUUAGCUAGUUGGUGAGGUAAAGGCUCACCAAGGCGAUGAUACAUAGCCGACCUGAGAGGGUGAUCGGCCACAUUGGGACUGAGACACGGCCCAAACUCCUACGGGAGGCAGCAGUAGGGAAUCUUCGGCAAUGGACGAAAGUCUGACCGAGCAACGCCGCGUGAGUGAAGAAGGUUUUCGGAUCGUAAAACUCUGUUGGUAGAGAAGAACGUUGGUGAGAGUGGAAAGCUCAUCAAGUGACGGUAACUACCCAGAAAGGGACGGCUAACUACGUG
This 497-nucleotide ribosomal RNA is filed under the name uncultured bacterium. Its description in RNAcentral is "partial 16S ribosomal RNA". It matches the Rfam family "Bacterial small subunit ribosomal RNA", at positions 28 to 507 of the family's 1533-position model. The record is from RNAcentral.